Molecule: ribosomal RNA, 760 nt
Filed under: uncultured bacterium
Lineage: Bacteria
Description: bacterial SSU rRNA
Rfam family: Bacterial small subunit ribosomal RNA
Source: RNAcentral
AACGAACGCUGGCGGCGUGGAUAAGACAUGCAAGUCGAACGAGAGAAUUGCUAGCUUGCUAAUAAUUCUCUAGUGGCGCACGGGUGAGUAACACGUGAGUAACCUGCCCCCAAGAGUGGGAUAGCCCCGGGAAACUGGGAUUAAUACCGCAUAAAAUCGCAAGAUUAAAGCAGCAAUGCGCUUGGGGAUGGGCUCGCGUCCUAUUAGUUAGUUGGUGAGGUAACGGCUCACCAAGGCGAUGACGGGUAGCCGGUCUGAGAGGAUGUCCGGCCACACUGGAACUGAGACACGGUCCAGACACCUACGGGUGGCAGCAGUCGAGAAUCAUUCACAAUGGGGGAAACCCUGAUGGUGCGACGCCGCGUGGGGGAAUGAAGGUCUUCGGAUUGUAAACCCCUGUCAUGUGGGAGCAAAUUAAAAAGAUUGUACCACAAGAGGAAGAGACGGCUAACUCUGUGCCAGCAGCCGCGGUAAUACAGAGGUCUCAAGCGUUGUUCGGAAUCACUGGGCGUAAAGCGUGCGUAGGCGGUUUCGUAAGUCGUGUGUGAAAGGCGGGGGCUCAACCCCCGGACUGCACAUGAUACUGCGAGACUAGAGUAAUGGAGGGGGAACCGGAAUUCUCGGUGUAGCAGUGAAAUGCGUAGAUAUCGAGAGGAACACUCGUGGCGAAGGCGGGUUCCUGGACAUUAACUGACGCUGAGGCACGAAGGCCAGGGGAGCGAAAGAGAUUAGAUACCCCUGUAGUCCUGGCAGUAAACGG